RNAcentral lists this transfer RNA (68 nucleotides) under Hydrolagus mirabilis (large-eyed rabbitfish). RNAcentral describes it as "tRNA-Phe". It matches the Rfam family "tRNA". Rfam says of the family: Transfer RNA (tRNA) molecules are approximately 80 nucleotides in length. Their secondary structure includes four short double-helical elements and three loops (D, anti-codon, and T loops). Lineage: Eukaryota; Metazoa; Chordata; Chondrichthyes; Chimaeriformes; Chimaeridae. The record is from RNAcentral.
ACAUGCGUAGCUUAUUUAAAGCAUGGCACUGAAAAUGCUAAUAUGAGAAGUAAAAUUCUCCGUGAGUA